Sinocyclocheilus rhinocerous is the source of this 435-nucleotide long non-coding RNA. RefSeq lists it as uncharacterized. The record is from RefSeq and is a predicted model, not a curated record. The transcript has 3 exons. Lineage: Eukaryota; Metazoa; Chordata; Actinopteri; Cypriniformes; Cyprinidae.
UGUUUUUUUUCCUUCAGCAGUGUCUUUUAACACAGGCUUUAUUAAUACUGACAGACAGGGAAGCGGCUUUUUGUACCACCUGGUUCGAGCCUCGGCCCGUUUGACCUUCUCUCCAGUGCUGAAAAUGCAAACCACCAUAAAGAUAUUAAAAUCUGAGAUGUAGGGCAUUACCUCAGAUGUGAGGGUUUUGAAAUGAAGAGAUCACAUGGAUAGAGGGGUAUCAUACAUCAAAUGCUACAGCCUGGCAUGUUCACAUCAAAGAGCCGCAUCUGUUUCAUGACAUGAUGAGGACCCAGUCCCAUGAGGCAGCGAGGAGGAGGACAUGACAGUCCUCAUCUUGUCCUCGUUCAUCGUCUGAGUGUCUUCACACUGUAUGGCAGCGUUCCAACCUCACGCCACCUACCUGGGAGCUGUUCAAAUCUGCCAUUUCCAGGA